GACGAACGCUGGCGGCGUGCUUAACACAUGCAAGUCGAACGGAAAGGCUCCAGCUUGCUGGAGUACUCGAGUGGCGAACGGGUGAGUAACACGUGGGUAAUCUGCCCUGCACUCUGGGAUAAGCCUGGGAAACCGGGUCUAAUACUGGAUAUGACCUUUCUCCUUAUGGGGUUUGGUGGAAAGUUUUUCGGUGUAGGAUGAGCCCGCGGCCUAUCAGCUUGUUGGUGGGGUGAUGGCCUACCAAGGCGACGACGGGUAGCCGGCCUGAGAGGGUGAUCGGCCACAUUGGGACUGAGAUACGGCCCAGACUCCUACGGGAGGCAGCAGUGGGGAAUAUUGCACAAUGGGCGGAAGCCUGAUGCAGCGACGCCGCGUGAGGGAUGACGGCCUUCGGGUUGUAAACCUCUUUCAGCAGGGACGAAGCGUAAGUGACGGUACCUGCAGAAGAAGCACCGGCUAACUAUGUG
RNAcentral lists this ribosomal RNA (467 nucleotides) under uncultured bacterium. RNAcentral's name for it is "partial 16S ribosomal RNA". It matches the Rfam family "Bacterial small subunit ribosomal RNA", at positions 28 to 507 of the family's 1533-position model. The record is from RNAcentral.